Molecule: ribosomal RNA, 2794 nt
Filed under: Klebsiella pneumoniae
Lineage: Bacteria; Pseudomonadati; Pseudomonadota; Gammaproteobacteria; Enterobacterales; Enterobacteriaceae
Description: partial 23S ribosomal RNA
Rfam family: Bacterial large subunit ribosomal RNA
Source: RNAcentral
GGUUAAGCGACUAAGCGUACACGGUGGAUGCCCUGGCAGUCAGAGGCGAUGAAGGACGUGCUAAUCUGCGAAAAGCGUCGGUAAGGUGAUAUGAACCGUUAUAACCGGCGAUGUCCGAAUGGGGAAACCCAGUGUGAUUCGUCACACUAUCGUUAACUGAAUACAUAGGUUAACGAGGCGAACCGGGGGAACUGAAACAUCUAAGUACCCCGAGGAAAAGAAAUCAACCGAGAUUCCCCCAGUAGCGGCGAGCGAACGGGGAGCAGCCCAGAGUCUGAAUCAGCUUGUGUGUUAGUGGAACGGUCUGGAAAGUCCGACGGUACAGGGUGAUAGUCCCGUACACCAAAAUGCACAGGCUGUGAACUCGAAGAGUAGGGCGGGACACGUGGUAUCCUGUCUGAAUAUGGGGGGACCAUCCUCCAAGGCUAAAUACUCCUGACUGACCGAUAGUGAACCAGUACCGUGAGGGAAAGGCGAAAAGAACCCCGGCGAGGGGAGUGAAAAAGAACCUGAAACCGUGUACGUACAAGCAGUGGGAGCACCUUCGGGUGUGACUGCGUACCUUUUGUAUAAUGGGUCAGCGACUUAUAUUCUGUAGCAAGGUUAACCGUAUAGGGGAGCCGCAGGGAAACCGAGUCUUAACUGGGCGUUAAGUUGCAGGGUAUAGACCCGAAACCCGGUGAUCUAGCCAUGGGCAGGUUGAAGGUUGGGUAACACUAACUGGAGGACCGAACCGACUAAUGUUGAAAAAUUAGCGGAUGACUUGUGGCUGGGGGUGAAAGGCCAAUCAAACCGGGAGAUAGCUGGUUCUCCCCGAAAGCUAUUUAGGUAGCGCCUCGUGAACUCAUCUUCGGGGGUAGAGCACUGUUUCGGCUAGGGGGUCAUCCCGACUUACCAACCCGAUGCAAACUACGAAUACCGAAGAAUGUUAUCACGGGAGACACACGGCGGGUGCUAACGUCCGUCGUGAAGAGGGAAACAACCCAGACCGCCAGCUAAGGUCCCAAAGUCAUGGUUAAGUGGGAAACGAUGUGGGAAGGCACAGACAGCCAGGAUGUUGGCUUAGAAGCAGCCAUCAUUUAAAGAAAGCGUAAUAGCUCACUGGUCGAGUCGGCCUGCGCGGAAGAUGUAACGGGGCUAAACCAUGCACCGAAGCUGCGGCAGCGACACUAUGUGUUGUUGGGUAGGGGAGCGUUCUGUAAGCCUGCGAAGGUGUGCUGUGAGGCAUGCUGGAGGUAUCAGAAGUGCGAAUGCUGACAUAAGUAACGAUAAAGCGGGUGAAAAGCCCGCUCGCCGGAAGACCAAGGGUUCCUGUCCAACGUUAAUCGGGGCAGGGUGAGUCGACCCCUAAGGCGAGGCCGAAAGGCGUAGUCGAUGGGAAACAGGUUAAUAUUCCUGUACUUGGUGUUACUGCGAAGGGGGGACGGAGAAGGCUAUGUUAGCCGGGCGACGGUUGUCCCGGUUUAAGCAUGUAGGCUGGUUAUCCAGGCAAAUCCGGAUAAUCAAGGCUGAGGUGUGAUGACGAGGCACUACGGUGCUGAAGUAACAAAUGCCCUGCUUCCAGGAAAAGCCUCUAAGCAUCAGGUAACAUCAAAUCGUACCCCAAACCGACACAGGUGGUCAGGUAGAGAAUACCAAGGCGCUUGAGAGAACUCGGGUGAAGGAACUAGGCAAAAUGGUGCCGUAACUUCGGGAGAAGGCACGCUGGUGUGUAGGUGAAGUCCCUGCGGAUGGAGCUGAGACCAGUCGAAGAUACCAGCUGGCUGCAACUGUUUAUUAAAAACACAGCACUGUGCAAACACGAAAGUGGACGUAUACGGUGUGACGCCUGCCCGGUGCCGGAAGGUUAAUUGAUGGGGUUAUCCGUAAGGAGAAGCUCUUGAUCGAAGCCCCGGUAAACGGCGGCCGUAACUAUAACGGUCCUAAGGUAGCGAAAUUCCUUGUCGGGUAAGUUCCGACCUGCACGAAUGGCGUAAUGAUGGCCAGGCUGUCUCCACCCGAGACUCAGUGAAAUUGAACUCGCUGUGAAGAUGCAGUGUACCCGCGGCAAGACGGAAAGACCCCGUGAACCUUUACUAUAGCUUGACACUGAACAUUGAGCCUUGAUGUGUAGGAUAGGUGGGAGGCUUUGAAGCGUGGACGCCAGUCUGCGUGGAGCCAACCUUGAAAUACCACCCUUUAAUGUUUGAUGUUCUAACGUUGGCCCCUGACCGGGGUUGCGGACAGUGUCUGGUGGGUAGUUUGACUGGGGCGGUCUCCUCCCAAAGCGUAACGGAGGAGCACGAAGGUUAGCUAAUCCUGGUCGGACAUCAGGAGGUUAGUGCAAUGGCAUAAGCUAGCUUGACUGCGAGCGUGACGGCGCGAGCAGGUGCGAAAGCAGGUCAUAGUGAUCCGGUGGUUCUGAAUGGAAGGGCCAUCGCUCAACGGAUAAAAGGUACUCCGGGGAUAACAGGCUGAUACCGCCCAAGAGUUCAUAUCGACGGCGGUGUUUGGCACCUCGAUGUCGGCUCAUCACAUCCUGGGGCUGAAGUAGGUCCCAAGGGUAUGGCUGUUCGCCAUUUAAAGUGGUACGCGAGCUGGGUUUAGAACGUCGUGAGACAGUUCGGUCCCUAUCUGCCGUGGGCGCUGGAGAAUUGAGGGGGGCUGCUCCUAGUACGAGAGGACCGGAGUGGACGCAUCACUGGUGUUCGGGUUGUCAUGCCAAUGGCACUGCCCGGUAGCUAAAUGCGGAAGAGAUAAGUGCUGAAAGCAUCUAAGCACGAAACUUGCCCCGAGAUGAGUUCUCCCUGAGACU